UACGUAGGGUCCAAGCGUUAUCCGGAAUCACUGGGCGUAAAGCGUGCGUAGGCGGAUGUUUAAGUGCAACAUGAAAUCCCGUGGCUCAACCAUGUGGACUGUAUUGCAUACUGGACGUCUUGAGGACAUGAGAGGCAAGUGGAAUUACUGGUGUAGCAGUGAAAUGCGUAGAGAUCAGUAGGAACACCAAUGGCGAAGGCAGCUUGCUGGCAUGUAUCUGACGCUAAGGCACGAAAGCGUGGGGAGCGAACAGG
RNAcentral lists this ribosomal RNA (254 nucleotides) under uncultured bacterium. RNAcentral describes it as "partial 16S ribosomal RNA". It matches the Rfam family "Bacterial small subunit ribosomal RNA", at positions 524 to 776 of the family's 1533-position model. The record is from RNAcentral.